CAAGAGCUGCGCGCGCAUUCAGCCGGUCACAUAGGAAAGCAUUCAUAAUGCUUUCCUAUGGACGCUGGCGUGCUCUCACUGUGAAAAUCACAGUGAGAAGCACGCAAGCGCCUCUAGCGGCUGUCAAUGAGACGGCCACUAGAGGAAAUAGGGGAAGGCUUAACCCAUUCAUAAACAUAGCAGUUUCUCUGAAACUGCUAUGUUUAUGAAAAAAUGGGUUAACCCUAGCUGGAC
RNAcentral lists this long non-coding RNA (234 nucleotides) under Pelobates cultripes (western spadefoot toad). Lineage: Eukaryota; Metazoa; Chordata; Amphibia; Anura; Pelobatidae. The record is from RNAcentral.